This 355-nucleotide ribosomal RNA is filed under the name uncultured bacterium. RNAcentral's name for it is "bacterial SSU rRNA". It matches the Rfam family "Bacterial small subunit ribosomal RNA", at positions 8 to 353 of the family's 1533-position model. The record is from RNAcentral.
AGAGUUUGAUCAUGGCUCAGGACGAACGCUGGCGGCGUGCUUAACACAUGCAAGUCGAGGGGCAGCAUGAUUUGUAGCAAUACAGAUUGAUGGCGACCGGCGCACGGGUGAGUAACGCGUAUGCAACUUACCUAUCAGAGGGGGAUAGCCCGGCGAAAGUCGGAUUAAUACCCCAUAAAACAGGGGUCCCGCAUGGGAAUAUUUGUUAAAGAUUCAUCGCUGAUAGAUAGGCAUGCGUUCCAUUAGGCAGUUGGCGGGGUAACGGCCCACCAAACCGACGAUGGAUAGGGGUUCUGAGAGGAAGGUCCCCCACAUUGGUACUGAGACACGGACCAAACUCCUACGGGAGGCAGCA